RNAcentral lists this ribosomal RNA (489 nucleotides) under uncultured bacterium. Its description in RNAcentral is "partial 16S ribosomal RNA". It matches the Rfam family "Bacterial small subunit ribosomal RNA", at positions 30 to 507 of the family's 1533-position model. The record is from RNAcentral.
UUGAACGCUGGCGGCAGGCCUAACACAUGCAAGUCGAACGGUAACAGGAAGAAGCUUGCUUCUUUGCUGACGAGUGGCGGACGGGUUAGUAAUGUCUGGGAAACUGCCUGAUGGAGGGGGAUAACUACUGGAAACGGUAGCUAAUACCGCAUAACGUCGCAAGACCAAAGAGGGGGACCUUCGGGCCUCUUGCCAUCGGAUGUGCCCAGAUGGGAUUAGCUAGUAGGUGGGGUAACGGCUCACCUAGGCGACGAUCCCUAGCUGGUCUGAGAGGAUGACCAGCCACACUGGAACUGAGACACGGUCCAGACUCCUACGGGAGGCAGCAGUGGGGAAUAUUGCACAAUGGGCGCAAGCCUGAUGCAGCCAUGCCGCGUGUAUGAAGAAGGCCUUCGGGUUGUAAAGUACUUUCAGCGGGGAGGAAGGGAGUAAAGUUAAUACCUUUGCUCAUUGACGUUACCCGCAGAAGAAGCACCGGCUAACUCCGUG